Molecule: transfer RNA, 72 nt
Filed under: Heterocephalus glaber (naked mole-rat)
Lineage: Eukaryota; Metazoa; Chordata; Mammalia; Rodentia; Bathyergidae
Rfam family: tRNA
About the family: Transfer RNA (tRNA) molecules are approximately 80 nucleotides in length. Their secondary structure includes four short double-helical elements and three loops (D, anti-codon, and T loops). Further hydrogen bonds mediate the characteristic L-shaped molecular structure. tRNAs have two regions of fundamental functional importance: the anti-codon, which is responsible for specific mRNA codon recognition, and the 3' end, to which the tRNAs corresponding amino acid is attached (by aminoacyl-tRNA synthetases). tRNAs cope with the degeneracy of the genetic code in two manners: having more than one tRNA (with a specific anti-codon) for a particular amino acid; and 'wobble' base-pairing, i.e. permitting non-standard base-pairing at the 3rd anti-codon position.
Source: Rfam by way of RNAcentral
GUGUGUGCAGCUUAGUGGUAGAGCAUGUACUUAGCAUGUGUGAAGCCUUGGGUUUGAUCCCUAGCACACACG